GCGGGGAUAGAGCUGAGCAUCAGCUGCUCAGAGGUUCCGGAGAGUACUGUCGUGCUAGCCUUGUCAUCUGCGUCAGAGCAGUCCCUGCCACACAAGAAGUAUGUACACCAGCAAGGAAAAGGCCAACUGCAGGAACAAUGGCUAGUGAGCAACGUGGAAACAUCCUCCAGGGCUGGACUGCAGAAUCACUUCAGAACGAAAACCUGGCAUUCAAAGGUAUCAUGGAGACCCUUUAUAGCUGAGGAUGUAUUUUCGAACUUCACAAAGAAAUCAAAACAGGCGCCCCAAUACCAGAGGCAGAGUUAAGCCCUCAGCAUAAGUUGAAGGCUAAAGAAGUCUUCAGCCAAUCACUUGCCAUAAAGAAUCAGGGAAGCCCAAAAUACUCCCACUGAUAACACAGCUCUCCAUGGCGACA
This is a long non-coding RNA of Fukomys damarensis (Damara mole-rat), 415 nucleotides long. RefSeq lists it as uncharacterized. The record is from RefSeq and is a predicted model, not a curated record. The transcript has 3 exons. Lineage: Eukaryota; Metazoa; Chordata; Mammalia; Rodentia; Bathyergidae.